AGUGAACGCUGGCGGUAGGCCUAACACAUGCAAGUCGAACGGCAGCACAGGAGAGCUUGCUCUCUGGGUGGCGAGUGGCGGACGGGUGAGGAAUACAUCGGAAUCUACUUUUUCGUGGGGGAUAACGUAGGGAAACUUACGCUAAUACCGCAUACGACCUACGGGUGGAAGCAGGGGACCUUCGGGCCUUGCGCGAUUGAAUGAGCCGAUGUCGGAUUAGCUAGUUGGCGGGGUAAAGGCCCACCAAGGCGACGAUCCGUAGCUGGUCUGAGAGGAUGAUCAGCCGCACUGGAACUGAGACACGGUCCAGACUCCUACGGGAGGCAGCAGUGGGGAAUAUUGGACAAUGGGCGCAAGCCUGAUCCAGCCAUACCGCGUGGGUGAAGAAGGCCUUCGGGUUGUAAAGCCCUUUUGUUGGGAAAGAAAUCCAUCUGGUUAAUACCCGGGUGGGAUGACGGUACCCAAAGAAUAAGCACCGGCUAACUUCGUGCCAGCCGCCGCCGUAA
Molecule: ribosomal RNA, 506 nt
Filed under: uncultured bacterium
Lineage: Bacteria
Description: partial 16S ribosomal RNA
Rfam family: Bacterial small subunit ribosomal RNA
Source: RNAcentral